RNAcentral lists this ribosomal RNA (503 nucleotides) under Therrya sp. CLH-2015a. Its description in RNAcentral is "eukaryotic LSU rRNA". The stretch from base 141 to 294 matches the Rfam family "5.8S ribosomal RNA". The record is from RNAcentral. Lineage: Eukaryota; Fungi; Ascomycota; Leotiomycetes; Rhytismatales; Rhytismataceae.
CUCCUUCAUGCCCUAUUCUCCCCUUUUGUCUACCAAACUUUGUUGCCUUGGCGGCGCCGUAGCGCUGUAACAAGCCUACCAGCCGCCAGAGGACCCUAACCCGAAAAUUCAAGCUGUCUGAGUCACUAUAUAAUAGUUAAAACUUUCAACAACGGAUCUCUUGGUUCUGGCAUCGAUGAAGAACGCAGCGAAAUGCGAUAAGUAAUGUGAAUUGCAGAUAUCAGUGAAUCAUCGAAUCUUUGAACGCACAUUGCACCCCCUGGCAUUCCAGAGGGUAUGCCUGUUCGAGCGUCAUUACAACCCUUGCGCGCAGCGCAGUCUUGGGCUCGCCCUGUAGGGCCUGCCUCAAAUGCAGUGGCGGCGGCGUGGAGCCCCUGAGCGUAGUACUAUUCGUCGCUCUCGGAGGCUGUGCGGUUGCUUGUCAGGAAACCCCCACACUCUAGGUUGACCUCGGAUCAGGUAGGGAUACCCGCUGAACUUAAGCAUAUCAAUAGCCGGAGGAA